RNAcentral lists this small RNA (30 nucleotides) under Bombyx mori (domestic silkworm). RNAcentral's name for it is "ovarian small RNA-28943". The record is from RNAcentral. Lineage: Eukaryota; Metazoa; Arthropoda; Insecta; Lepidoptera; Bombycidae.
UCGGAGUGGCGUCGGCGUUAUCGCCUGACU